Molecule: ribosomal RNA, 468 nt
Filed under: uncultured bacterium
Lineage: Bacteria
Description: partial 16S ribosomal RNA
Rfam family: Bacterial small subunit ribosomal RNA
Source: RNAcentral
GACGAACGCUGGCGGCGUGCUUAACACAUGCAAGUCGAACGGACAGACCCUGCUUUUGUGGGGUGCUCGAGUGGCGAACGGGUGAGUAACACGUGAGUAACCUGCCCUUGUCUUUGGGAUAACUUCACGAAACUGGGGCUCAUACCGGAUAUGAGCUCCUGCUCCAUGUUGGUGGUUGGAAAAUUUCGGCUGUUCGGGCUGGACUCGCGGCUUAUCAGCUUGUUGGUGGGGUAGUGGCUUACCAAGGCUUUGACGGGUAGCCGGCCUGAGAGGGUGACCGGCCACAUUGGGACUGAGAUACGGCCCAGACGCCUACGGGAGGCAGCAGGGGGGAAUAUUGCACAAUGGGCGGAAGCCUGAUGCAGAAACGCCGCGUGCGGGAUGACGGCCUUCGGGGUGUAAACCGCUUUCGAAGGUGACGAAGAGUGAGUGACGGUAAUGGGUAAAGAAGCACCGGCUAACUACGUG